This 243-nucleotide unclassified non-coding RNA is filed under the name Hevea brasiliensis (rubber tree). The record is from RNAcentral. Lineage: Eukaryota; Viridiplantae; Streptophyta; Magnoliopsida; Malpighiales; Euphorbiaceae.
UUCCUGGAGUUGAUUGGGGGUCAAGUCCUUUGUCUGCUUAAGGGACAACAGAUAGGCAGCCAUGAAGCAUGCAAUGCCCUCUACUAUGUCUUCUUGCCGAACAAGAACAUAACCUUCUUGAUCAGAGUCAAAAUUGUCACAUUCCCAAAGAUCAUGCUCAUUGACCAUGUCCCAAGAACUACCUUCUUCAGAAAUAUUUUGGGGAGCCGACCCUUGAGCACACUCUAGCUUUUCAAGGAAGUC